GUUUACAAUAUUAUUGCUUGUAAAGAUACGCUUUAAUCAAUUUACCUCAGGAAAUGUGUAAACACUUGAAGCAUAAACAGUAGGUAUCACAAUUAAUGAUGAUAACUUUGCUUGCUUCCAGUAAUUAAAAUCCAAGCUGUUCUACUUGCACAAGUUCAUGGAAUUCUGUACUUGACGUGCAAGGCUGGAACACAUUAUUAGUUAUGAAUGAUGGUAGUUGAAAUUUGAAAGCAACAUCGUCUUCAACUCAUCAAUAUCCCUAAGCAAUUUCUCAUUCUCAAGGUUCAUAUUCUGUAUCUCAACAUGUAAAGCAGAGUUUGAAUCCUGAAGAUCCUGAAGAACUUCUUCCACAAAUGCCAACAUUGAAUUCUUUAAAGCAUCAUUUUUCUGAUCCAAGAGACGGAUUUCAUUUUCAAAAAACUCUUUCUCUGAUAACAGUUUCAUGAGUUCAUCAUUUUCUCCUUUGUCAAUUUCCCUCUGAAACUCUAGGCAUUGCAUGGCAAACUGUUCCCGCUUAUUGUUCAUUCUUUUAAGCGUCUCCUCUCGCUUUUUUCUUAGACUAGACAGUUCCGCCUCCAAUAAUUUGGCAGAUUUUCUUGAUUCGUUUGUGACGGAGACCAAUCCGAUUAUCUCAAAUUGAGAGACGUAAAGCGUCUUAGUGAGCUCCGAUUCUCUGGCAGCCAAGGUGGAUUCAUAUUCCGUACAUUUCACGAUCUCCGACUCGAUCUCUCGCGUUACUUGAAUAUUGGCCUCAAUUUCUUCAUUUACUUGAUCGAGCAUGUCCUUAAGCGAAGAGAUUUGACAGAGAAUCACGCCUGAGUCGUCCAUG
RNAcentral lists this unclassified non-coding RNA (829 nucleotides) under Hevea brasiliensis (rubber tree). The record is from RNAcentral. Lineage: Eukaryota; Viridiplantae; Streptophyta; Magnoliopsida; Malpighiales; Euphorbiaceae.